Molecule: ribosomal RNA, 497 nt
Filed under: uncultured bacterium
Lineage: Bacteria
Description: partial 16S ribosomal RNA
Rfam family: Bacterial small subunit ribosomal RNA
Source: RNAcentral
GAUGAACGCUGGCGGCGUGCCUAAUACAUGCGAGUCGAGCGAACAGACGAGGAGCUUGCUCCUCUGACGUUAGCGGCGGACGGGUGAGUAACACGUGGAUAACCUACCUAUAAGACUGGGAUAACUUCGGGAAACCGGAGCUAAUACCGGAUAAUAUAUUGAACCGCAUGGUUCAAUAGUGAAAGACGGUUUUGCUGUCACUUAUAGAUGGAUCCGCGCCGCAUUAGCUAGUUGGUAAGGUAACGGCUUACCAAGGCAACGAUGCGUAGCCGACCUGAGAGGGUGAUCGGCCACACUGGAACUGAGACACGGUCCAGACUCCUACGGGAGGCAGCAGUAGGGAAUCUGCCGCAAUGGGCGAAAGCUUGACGGAGCAACGCCGCGUGAGUGAUGAAGGUCUUCGGAUCGUAAAACUCUGUUAUUAGGGAAGAACAAAUGUGUAAGUAACUAUGCACGUCUUGACGGUACCUAAUCAGAAAGCCACGGCUAACUACGUG